GACGAACGCUGGCGGCGUGCUUAACACAUGCCAGUCGAACGGAAAGGCCCUGCUUGCAGGGUACUCGAGUGGCGAACGGGUGAGUAACACGUGGGUGAUCUGCCCUGCACUUCGGGAUAAGCCUGGGAAACUGGGUCUAAUACCGGAUAGGAGCCAUUUUUAGUGUGAUGGUUGGAAAGUUUUUUCGGUGUAGGAUGAGCUCGCGGCCUAUCAGCUUGUUGGUGGGGUAAUGGCCUACCAAGGCGGCGACGGGUAGCCGGCCUGAGAGGGUGGACGGCCACAUUGGGACUGAGAUACGGCCCAGACUCCGACGGGAGGCAGCAGGGGGGAAUAUUGCACAAUGGGCGCAAGCCUGAUGCAGCGACGCCGCGUGGGGGAUGACGGCCUUCGGGUUGUAAACUCCUUUCGCUAGGGACGAAGCUUUUUGUGACGGUACCUAGAUAAGAAGCACCGGCUAACUACGUG
RNAcentral lists this ribosomal RNA (465 nucleotides) under uncultured bacterium. RNAcentral's name for it is "partial 16S ribosomal RNA". It matches the Rfam family "Bacterial small subunit ribosomal RNA", at positions 28 to 507 of the family's 1533-position model. The record is from RNAcentral.